RNAcentral lists this transfer RNA (65 nucleotides) under Brachystomella parvula. Its description in RNAcentral is "tRNA-Gly". The record is from RNAcentral. Lineage: Eukaryota; Metazoa; Arthropoda; Collembola; Poduromorpha; Brachystomellidae.
ACAUUUUUAGUAUAUAAAUAUAUUUAACUUCCAAUUAAAAGAUCUUUUUUUUUUAAGAAAAUGUA